AACGAACGCUGGCGGCAGGCCUAACACAUGCAAGUCGAGCGCCCCGCAAGGGGAGCGGCGGACGGGUGAGUAACACGUGGGAACGUACCCUUUGCUACGGAAUAGUCUCGGGAAACUGGGGGUAAUACCGUAUGUGCCCUUCGGGGGAAAGAUUUAUCGGCAAAGGAUCGGCCCGCGUUGGAUUAGGUAGUUGGUGGGGUAAUGGCCUACCAAGCCGACGAUCCAUAGCUGGUUUGAGAGGAUGAUCAGCCACACUGGGACUGAGACACGGCCCAGACUCCUACGGGAGGCAGCAGUGGGGAAUAUUGCGCAAUGGGCGAAAGCCUGACGCAGCCACGCCGCGUGAGCGAUGAAGGCCUUCGGUCGUAAAGCUCUGUGGGGAGGAGACGAAGAAAGACCUGUGAAGAGCAGGCCUUGACGGUAUCUCCUUAGCAAGCACCGGCUAACUCCGUGCCAGCAGCCGCGGUAAUGUACAGUGU
Molecule: ribosomal RNA, 479 nt
Filed under: uncultured bacterium
Lineage: Bacteria
Description: bacterial SSU rRNA
Rfam family: Bacterial small subunit ribosomal RNA
Source: RNAcentral